ACCUCAUAAUCUACUGUGAAUGAAAGGCCAUAAUAAAAGUCCUGAUGAAGACAUUUCCCCCAAGCCUACAAUUUUCUUUCCUUCAAUUGCUGAAAUAAAACUCUGUAAGGCUGGAACAUAUCUUUGUCUACUUGAAGAUUUUUUCCCUGAUGUUUUCAAGAUAGAUUGGAAAGAAAAGGAUGGCAAAACAAUUCUAAAAUCCCAGCAGGGAGACACCAUGAAGACUAACGACACAUACAUGAAAUUCAGCUGGCUGACAGUGACUGGAGCAUCAAUGGAUAAAGAACACAAAUGUAUUGUCAAACACGAGCAGGAUAAAGGAAAUGUUGAUCAAGAGAUUCUUUUUCCUUCAAUAAACAAAGAUUUGUUGCCAGCACUGGAAUAUGAAGUAGACUCCCAGGGACAUUCAGAGACAAAGCAAAACAAAGAGGUGUUAACUGUGAGCCCUUUGAGUUCAGCAUUCUCACUUAUUCCAAGGGCUGUGGAGCUUUCUGCUAUUAACGCCACAAAAGCUUCUCUGAAUGAUGAAAAUGACACCCUGCAGCUGCAGCUCAUGAACACAUCUGCCUACUACACCUACCUCCUCCUCUUCCUGAAGAGCCUGGUCUACUCCAUCAUCAUCACCGUCUCUCUGCUUGGGAGACCAGCACUCUAUAGCAAUGGGAAGAGUUCCCAACACAUGGUGGCACAAGGUUCUACUUUUUCCCAUUGGCUAUUGUCCCUAAAAGUCUCUGCUGAGGAUCAAGUGGGGUUUUCUUUCUGAAACUAGGUUAUUUCCAUUCUCAUGUGUCUUUUUCUACUGCAUCAUUAUUGCAGAACUGAUUUACACACCACUGGGCAAACAGAAGCUUUCACUUUGCAGCUAGAACAAAUUCUGCCAUGACUCAGGGUGGGGCCAUGUGGUUUCAACACUGCUGUCUCCUUAAUGUCCACCAGCUCCUCAGCCACCCAGUCCCCAUGCUUCUGAGUACAGCCAGCAUGCAGUCUCUUGGACUUUUUAACAAGAUGAUUACCUGGAAACUUUUUAUUUUACAUACCUUGAAAC
This is a non-coding RNA of Lontra canadensis (Northern American river otter), 1045 nucleotides long. The record is from the annotation of a RefSeq genome assembly. NCBI's taxonomy places the organism in Eukaryota, Metazoa, Chordata, Mammalia, Carnivora, Mustelidae.